This 504-nucleotide ribosomal RNA is filed under the name uncultured bacterium. Its description in RNAcentral is "partial 16S ribosomal RNA". It matches the Rfam family "Bacterial small subunit ribosomal RNA", at positions 30 to 523 of the family's 1533-position model. The record is from RNAcentral.
AUUGAACGCUGGCGGCAUGCCUUACACAUGCAAGUCGAACGGCAGCAUGGAGAGCUUGCUCUCUGAUGGCGAGUGGCGAACGGGUGAGUAAAGCAUCGGAACGUACCGUGUAGUGGGGGAUAACGUAGCGAAAGUUACGCUAAUACCGCAUACGCACUGAGGUGGAAAGCAGGGGAUCGUAAGACCUUGCGCUAUACGAGCGGCCGAUGUUAGAUUAGCUAGUUGGUAGGGUAAAGGCCUACCAAGGCGACGAUCUGUAGCGGGUCUGAGAGGAUGAUCCGCCACACUGGGACUGAGACACGGCCCAGACUCCUACGGGAGGCAGCAGUGGGGAAUUUUGGACAAUGGGGGCAACCCUGAUCCAGCCAUGCCGCGUGAGUGAAGAAGGCCUUCGGGUUGUAAAGCUCUUUCGGCCGGGAAGAAAUCGCACAGGCUAAUACCCUGUGUGGAUGACGGUACCGGCAUAGGAAGCACCGGCUAACUACGUGCCAGCCGCCGCCGUAA